Molecule: RNA transcript, 683 nt
Organism: Magnolia sinica
Lineage: Eukaryota; Viridiplantae; Streptophyta; Magnoliopsida; Magnoliales; Magnoliaceae
Gene name: M phase phosphoprotein 10-like
Exons: 4
Source: RefSeq, a predicted model, not a curated record
CUCCUUUUUCCAGAUAUGAAGACUUCUUUGGGGGUUAAAAAGCAAAAAAGUUCAACAAAGCUGAAGUCCUUCAAUGGAUUUGAAGAACUGAGCAUAGCCGAGAAACAAGAAGAUGAUAAAGGAACUCUUUCAACCCAUGAGAAAGAGCUUCAAAAGAUCUGCUCUAAAAUUGAGCAGAUGGAGAAAGAGAACUUGGAAACUAAGGCCUGGACUAUGCAGGGAGAGGUAACCGCCAGUAAAAGGCCGAAGAACAGUGCACUCGAGGUUGAUCUGGAUUUUGAGCACAAUGUAAGACCACCUCCUGUGAUCACAGAAGAGGUUACAGCAUCCCUUGAAGAAUUAAUUACAAAAAGGAUUAUUGAGUUUUGAGUUCCGUCUUAGAGUGGCUCUUGCGUUGAAUGGAGAUCUCACCAUGAUAUCGUGGAUUAGGAACCUCGACAGCAAGCCAUUUAGUUUCUCCUUUGCUUUCCACACAUUUUUCUCUAUUUCUGUCAUCAGGAAUUUCAAUGGGAGCUGUUGUUGGAAUCUCUGUUGCAGCUGUUGCCAUUAUACUAUUUCUAGUUUUGUCUAUACAUUGGUGCGUCUAGAAGAAAGAAACUGAAGAAGGCAUCAUUGCUUCGACCACCUUUCGAAGAUAACUCUAUUCACCAUGGAUAAGGUAAAUCUCUUGGUUAGGCAUUAAU